UGCCCCCUACGGGAGGCAGCAGUGGGGAAUAUUGCACAAUGGGGGAAACCCUGAACCAGCAACGCCGCGUGAGGGAAGACGGUUUUCGGAUUGUAAACCUCUGUCCUCUGUGAAGAUAAUGACGGUAGCAGAGGAGGAAGCUCCGGCUAACUACGUGCCAGCAGCCGCGGUAAUACGUAGGUGGCAAGCGUUGUCCGGAAUUACUGGGUGUAAAGGGAGCGUAGGCGGGAAGCCAAGUCAGCUGUGAAAACUACGGGCUUAACCUGUAGACUGCAGUUGAAACUGGCUUUCUUGAGUGAAGUAGG
This 305-nucleotide ribosomal RNA is filed under the name uncultured bacterium. RNAcentral's name for it is "bacterial SSU rRNA". It matches the Rfam family "Bacterial small subunit ribosomal RNA", at positions 333 to 655 of the family's 1533-position model. The record is from RNAcentral.